RNAcentral lists this ribosomal RNA (834 nucleotides) under uncultured Bacteroidota bacterium. RNAcentral's name for it is "bacterial SSU rRNA". It matches the Rfam family "Bacterial small subunit ribosomal RNA", at positions 34 to 866 of the family's 1533-position model. Lineage: Bacteria; Pseudomonadati; Bacteroidota. The record is from RNAcentral.
CGCUAGCGGCAGGCCUAACACAUGCAAGUCGAACGGUAACAUGAGAGCUUGCUCUUGAUGACGAGUGGCGCACGGGUGCGUAACGCGUAUGCAACCUACCCUAUACAGGGGGAUAGCCCGGAGAAAUUCGGAUUAAUACCCCAUAAUAUUUUUGUAACACAUGUUAUAAUAAUUAAAGCUUCGGCGGUAUAGGAUGGGCAUGCGUCCCAUUAGUUAGUUGGUGAGGUAACGGCUCACCAAGACUUCGAUGGGUAGGGGUUCUGAGAGGAUUAUCCCCCACACUGGUACUGAGACACGGACCAGACUCCUACGGGAGGCAGCAGUGAGGAAUAUUGGGCAAUGGACGAGAGUCUGACCCAGCCAUGCCGCGUGCAGGAUGACGGCCCUAUGGGUUGUAAACUGCUUUUAUACAGGAAUAAACCUAUCUACGUGUAGAUAGCUGAAUGUACUGUACGAAUAAGGAUCGGCUAACUCCGUGCCAGCAGCCGCGGUAAUACGGAGGAUCCAAGCGUUAUCCGGAUUCAUUGGGUUUAAAGGGUCCGUAGGCGGAUUUUUAAGUCAGUGGUGAAAGCCCACAGCUCAACUGUGGAACUGCCAUUGAUACUGGAAGUCUUGAGUUUGGUUGAAGUUGGCGGAAUACGUCAUGUAGCGGUGAAAUGCAUAGAUAUGACGUAGAACACCGAUUGCGAAGGCAGCUGACUAAGUCAAUACUGACGCUGAGGGACGAAAGCGUGGGGAGCGAACAGGAUUAGAUACCCUGGUAGUCCACGCCGUAAACGAUGAUUACUAGCUGUUGGCGAUACACAGUCAGCGGCGUAGCGAAAGCGUUAAGUA